Molecule: RNA transcript, 1162 nt
Organism: Brienomyrus brachyistius
Lineage: Eukaryota; Metazoa; Chordata; Actinopteri; Osteoglossiformes; Mormyridae
Exons: 8
Source: RefSeq, a predicted model, not a curated record
CAGAAAUCCAAAAUCCAAGGGGAUGCCUUUUUCGGCAAGCACCUGCCGGAAAAGGCAUCCCCCCUGUUAAAAAUGGAUCUACUGCACCUACGCUGCUGAAACUUGCACAGGUAACUUAACAAUCUCUCAAAUACAAAGUCCCAAAGGCACUUGAUGAUGGGAGCUACACAAAUGCAAAAUCCAAGGGGAUGCCUUUUUCGGCAAGCACCUGCCGGAAAAGGUAUCCCCCUGUAAAAACUGUUACGUAACAGCUCAGAUCUCCACGAUGCUUGGGCAGGCAAAGAUGUGCAUGUACUGUUGUCCAAAAUUGGACCAUACAAGAUAUUCUACUGGGACAUAAAGAAGACUGGUCCUCACCAGCAGCUUGAGAGCGAGGUAAUUAAUGCUUUCUUAAGGUUGCUGGUCAUUGAGAACAAUAAGGUCAACAUGAGUAAGGCAGUCAUGAUUGACUCUUAUGAAAUGACAGCAAUCUGGAUGGGGAGGACAUCCAAAGUUAAAAUGAGUCCAAUGGAUUUCCAAACAGUUUUGGGCAUUGUUAAUGUGCAUUACCACUGGAUGCUGAUGGUGAUCUCUCCGCAUGAGAAAAAGUGUGUUUUCCUGGACCCAAUGGGAGAGACUUCAGGAAAUAUAAAGAGAUGCUCAGAAGCAACAAGGGCAUUCAUGCGGAAAAAGGGGUGUAAUGUGUCCAGAUGGCCCUGCAGUGCUCUGCCACAUGCACGUCAGUGAGACGGUUCAUCAUGUGGCAUUCUUACUUUAAAAUUUGCUGAGUGCAUCUUGAAGGGAGUGCCAAUCAACAUCCUGACCACAGAGGAGGCUGUGAACCAGAUGAGGUGGGAUGUUGCAAUGAAACUUCUUGAAGAAUCAGACAAUCUCAGCAACCUGUGUCAUUAUUGUGGGUUGGAUGAAAAUGAAGACCCAAAUUGGAUCUGCUGUGAUAAUUGUGGGAGGUGGUACCACCAUGAGUGCGUACAGAGGCCGCCACUGCACAAGAACUACCUGUGCCCUGCAUGUAAAUAAAUGUUCAGUUCUUGCUUUUUUUUGUUAAUUGUUGUUUGCAUUUAUUUUUUUAUGUUCUUGUUCAUUUAAUUUGGAAAAAUUCGUUAUUUAUUGAUUAAUUAUUCAUUCUUGUUCUUUUAAUUUGGAGCAAUUUGUUAUUUUUUAG